This 253-nucleotide ribosomal RNA is filed under the name uncultured bacterium. RNAcentral's name for it is "partial 16S ribosomal RNA". It matches the Rfam family "Bacterial small subunit ribosomal RNA", at positions 524 to 776 of the family's 1533-position model. The record is from RNAcentral.
UACGGAGGGUGCAAGCGUUAUCCGGAUUCACUGGGUUUAAAGGGUGCGUAGGUGGGCAAGUAAGUCAGUGGUGAAAUCUCCGGGCUUAACCCGGAAACUGCCAUUGAUACUAUUUGUCUUGAAUACUGUGGAGGUCAGCGGAAUAUGUCAUGUAGAGGUGAAAUGCUUAGAUAUGACAUAGAACACCAAUUGCGAAGGCAGCUGGCUACACAAAUAUUGACACUGAGGCAAGAAAGCGUGGGGAUCAAACAGG